UGGCCGCGCGAAGAAAACGCGACAGGCACACGGUGUGCCUCGAGUCGAGUUUUCGAAAGUCGCUCCUUCUCUCGUGUGAACGUACUAUUUCAUUUCAUCAGUGCUCGCAACAGUUACAAUGGCACAUUGACGAUAACAGAAGUGAUAGUGAUAUAAUUGGUUCGAACAAUGUCGGACAAUGUCAAACAGAUAAAAAUGCUUUUACAUAUCG
This is a long non-coding RNA of Frieseomelitta varia, 211 nucleotides long. RefSeq lists it as uncharacterized. The record is from RefSeq and is a predicted model, not a curated record. The transcript has 2 exons. NCBI's taxonomy places the organism in Eukaryota, Metazoa, Arthropoda, Insecta, Hymenoptera, Apidae.